UGAGGAAUAUUGGUCAAUGGGCGAGAGCCUGAACCAGCCAAGUCGCGUGAAGGAAGACAGUCCUAAGGAUUGUAAACUUCCUUUAUACGGGAAUAACGGGCGAUACGAGUAUUGCAUUGAAUGUACCGUAAGAAUAAGCAUCGGCUAACUCCGUGCCAGCAGCCGCGGUAAUACGGAGGAUGCGAGCGUUAUCCGGAUUUAUUGGGUUUAAAGGGUGCGUAGGUUGUUCGGUAAGUCAGCGGUGAAACCUGAGCGCUCAACGUUCAGCCUGCCGUUGAAACUGCCGGGCUUGAGUUCAGUGGCGGCAGGCGGAAUUCGUGGUGUAGCGGUGAAAUGCAUAGAUAUCACGAGGAACUCCGAUUGCGAAGGCAGCUUGCCAUACUGCGACUGACACUGAAGCACGAAGGCGUGGGUAUCAAACAGG
This 424-nucleotide ribosomal RNA is filed under the name Fusobacteriota bacterium. RNAcentral's name for it is "Fusobacteria bacterium partial 16S ribosomal RNA". It matches the Rfam family "Bacterial small subunit ribosomal RNA", at positions 355 to 776 of the family's 1533-position model. Lineage: Bacteria; Fusobacteriati; Fusobacteriota. The record is from RNAcentral.